This is a transfer RNA of Rhizophagus irregularis DAOM 197198w, 63 nucleotides long. It matches the Rfam family "tRNA". From Rfam's summary of the family: Transfer RNA (tRNA) molecules are approximately 80 nucleotides in length. Their secondary structure includes four short double-helical elements and three loops (D, anti-codon, and T loops). Further hydrogen bonds mediate the characteristic L-shaped molecular structure. tRNAs have two regions of fundamental functional importance: the anti-codon, which is responsible for specific mRNA codon recognition, and the 3' end, to which the tRNAs corresponding amino acid is attached (by aminoacyl-tRNA synthetases). tRNAs cope with the degeneracy of the genetic code in two manners: having more than one tRNA (with a specific anti-codon) for a particular amino acid; and 'wobble' base-pairing, i.e. permitting non-standard base-pairing at the 3rd anti-codon position. The record is from Rfam. NCBI's taxonomy places the organism in Eukaryota, Fungi, Glomeromycota, Glomeromycetes, Glomerales, Glomeraceae.
GGGCUCAUGGCCAAAUGGAUAAGGCGCCUGACUACGAAUCAGGUUCGACCCCUGGUGAGCUCG